GAUGAACGCUGGCGGCGUGCUUAACACAUGCAAGUCGAACGGAGCUUUGUUACGGAAUCUUCGGAAGAAGUGAUGAAGCUUAGUGGCGGACGGGUGAGUAACACGUGAGCAACCUACCUUUUGCAGGGGAAUAACUCUGGGAAACCAGAGCUAAUACCGCAUGACGUACACAUGAGGCAUCUUAGGUGUAUGAAAGGAGUAAUCCGGCAGAAGAUGGGCUCGCGUCCGAUUAGGUAGUUGGUGGGUAAGGGCCUACCAAGCCGACGAUCGGUAGCCGGACUGAGAGGUCGACCGGCCACAUUGGGACUGAGACACGGCCCAGACUCCUACGGGAGGCAGCAGUGGGGAAUAUUGGGCAAUGGGCGGAAGCCUGACCCAGCGACGCCGCGUGAAGGAGGAAGGCUUUCGAGUUGUAAACUUCUUUGGGGAGGGACGAAGAUGACGGUACCUCCAGAACAAGCCACGGCUAACUACGUG
This 477-nucleotide ribosomal RNA is filed under the name uncultured bacterium. RNAcentral's name for it is "bacterial SSU rRNA". It matches the Rfam family "Bacterial small subunit ribosomal RNA", at positions 28 to 507 of the family's 1533-position model. The record is from RNAcentral.